AUGCAGUCGACGAUGAACCCACUUCGGUGGGGAUUAGUGGCGAACGGGUGAGUAACACGUGGGCAAUCUGCCCUGCACUCUGGGACAAGCCCUGGAAACGGGGUCUAAUACCGGAUACUGAUCCUCGCAGGCAUCUGCGAGGUUCGAAAGCUCCGGCGGUGCAGGAUGAGCCCGCGGCCUAUCAGCUAGUUGGUGAGGUAACGGCUCACCAAGGCGACGACGGGUAGCCGGCCUGAGAGGGCGACCGGCCACACUGGGACUGAGACACGGCCCAGACUCCUACGGGAGGCAGCAGUGGGGAAUAUUGCACAAUGGGCGAAAGCCUGAUGCAGCGACGCCGCGUGAGGGAUGACGGCCUUCGGGUUGUAAACCUCUUUCAGCAGGGAAGAAGCGAAAGUGACGGUACCUGCAGAAGAAGCGCCGGCUAACUACGUGCCAGCAGCCGCGGUAAUACGUAGGGCGCAAGCGUUGUCCGGAAUUAUUGGGCGUAAAGAGCUCGUAGGCGGCUUGUCACGUCGGUUGUGAAAGCCCGGGGCUUAACCCCGGGUCUGCAGUCGAUACGGGCAGGCUAGAGUUCGGUAGGGGAGAUCGGAAUUCCUGGUGUAGCGGUGAAAUGCGCAGAUAUCAGGAGGAACACCGGUGGCGAAGGCGGAUCUCUGGGCCGAUACUGACGCUGAGGAGCGAAAGCGUGGGGAGCGAACAGGAUUAGAUACCCUGGUAGUCCACGCCGUAAACGGUGGGCACUAGGUGUGGGCAACAUUCCACGUUGUCCGUGCCGCAGCUAACGCAUUAAGUGCCCCGCCUGGGGAGUACGGCCGCAAGGCUAAAACUCAAAGGAAUUGACGGGGGCCCGCACAAGCGGCGGAGCAUGUGGCUUAAUUCGACGCAACGCGAAGAACCUUACCAAGGCUUGACAUACACCGGAAAACCCUGGAGACAGGGUCCCCCUUGUGGUCGGUGUACAGGUGGUGCAUGGCUGUCGUCAGCUCGUGUCAUGAGAUGUUGGGUUAAGUCCCGCAACGAGCGCAACCCUUGUCCCGUGUUGCCAGCAGGCCCUUGUGGUGCUGGGGACUCACGGGAGACCGCCGGGGUCAACUCUGAAGUAAGGGGGGGGACGACGUCAAGUCAUCAUGGCCCCUUAUGUCUUGGGGCUGCCAACUGUGCUACAAUUGGCCUGUUACAAUGGAACUGCGAAACCCGCUAGUGGGGACCGAAUCUCUAAAAAGCCGGUCCCAAUUUCGCA
This 1243-nucleotide ribosomal RNA is filed under the name Streptomyces sp. WA-1. RNAcentral describes it as "bacterial SSU rRNA". It matches the Rfam family "Bacterial small subunit ribosomal RNA", at positions 55 to 1298 of the family's 1533-position model. The record is from RNAcentral. Lineage: Bacteria; Bacillati; Actinomycetota; Actinomycetes; Kitasatosporales; Streptomycetaceae.